CCUACCGGGAGGCAGCAGUGGGGAAUAUUGCACAAUGGGCGCAAGCCUGAUGCAGCCAUGCCGCGUGUAUGAAGAAGGCCUUCGGGUUGUAAAGUACUUUCAGCGGGGAGGAAGGCGGUGAGGUUAAUAACCUCAUCGAUUGACGUUACCCGCAGAAGAAGCACCGGCUAACUCCGUGCCAGCAGCCGCGGUAAUACGGAGGGUGCAAGCGUUAAUCGGAAUUACUGGGCGUGAAGCGCUCGCAGGCGGUCUGUCAAGUCGGAUGUGAAAUCCCCGGGCUCAACCUGGGAACUGCAUUCGAAACUGGCAGGCUAGAGUCUUGUAGAGGGGGGUAGAAUUCCAGGUGUAGCGGUGAAAUGCGUAGAGAUCUGGAGGAAUACCGGUGGCGAAGGCGGCCCCCUGGACAAAGACUGACGCUCAGGUGCGAAAGCGUGGGGAGCAAACAGGAUUAGAUACCCCAGUA
RNAcentral lists this ribosomal RNA (463 nucleotides) under uncultured bacterium. Its description in RNAcentral is "bacterial SSU rRNA". It matches the Rfam family "Bacterial small subunit ribosomal RNA", at positions 338 to 792 of the family's 1533-position model. The record is from RNAcentral.